Molecule: transfer RNA, 69 nt
Filed under: Rattus norvegicus (Norway rat)
Lineage: Eukaryota; Metazoa; Chordata; Mammalia; Rodentia; Muridae
Rfam family: tRNA
About the family: Transfer RNA (tRNA) molecules are approximately 80 nucleotides in length. Their secondary structure includes four short double-helical elements and three loops (D, anti-codon, and T loops).
Source: Rfam by way of RNAcentral
GGGGAUUUAGCUUAGCGGUAGAGCACUUGCCUAGCAAGCACAAGGCCCUGGGUUCGGUCCCCAGCUCCG